Molecule: ribosomal RNA, 474 nt
Filed under: uncultured organism
Description: partial 16S ribosomal RNA
Rfam family: Bacterial small subunit ribosomal RNA
Source: RNAcentral
ACUCCUGCGGGAGGCAGCAGUGGGGAAUUUUGGACAAUGGGCGAAAGCCUGAUCCAGCCAUGCCGCGUGCAGGAUGAAGGCCUUCGGGUUGUAAACUGCUUUUGUACGGAACGAAACGGCCUUUUCUAAUAAAGAGGGCUAAUGACGGUACCGUAAGAAUAAGCACCGGCUAACUACGUGCCAGCAGCCGCGGUAAUACGUAGGGUGCAAGCGUUAAUCGGAAUUACUGGGCGUAAAGCGUGCGCAGGCGGUUAUGUAAGACAGUUGUGAAAUCCCCGGGCUCAACCUGGGAACUGCAUCUGUGACUGCAUAGCUAGAGUACGGUAGAGGGGGAUGGAAUUCCGCGUGUAGCAGUGAAAUGCGUAGAUAUGCGGAGGAACACCGAUGGCGAAGGCAAUCCCCUGGACCUGUACUGACGCUCAUGCACGAAAGCGUGGGGAGCAAACAGGAUUAGAAACCCCGGUAGUCCCAUGA